RNAcentral lists this ribosomal RNA (251 nucleotides) under uncultured bacterium. RNAcentral's name for it is "partial 16S ribosomal RNA". It matches the Rfam family "Bacterial small subunit ribosomal RNA", at positions 524 to 776 of the family's 1533-position model. The record is from RNAcentral.
UACGGAGGAUGCGAGCGUUAUCCGGAUUUAUUGGGUUUAAAGGGUGCGUAGGCGGACGCUUAAGUCAGCGGUAAAUUGCGGGGCUCAACCUCGUCGAGCCGUUGAAACUGGGUGCCUUGAGUGGGCGAGAAGUACGCGGAAUGCGUGGUGUAGCGGUGAAAUGCAUAGAUAUCACGCAGAACUCCGAUUGCGAAGGCAGCGUACCGGCGCCCUACUGACGCUGAAGCACGAAGGCGUGGGUAUCGAACAGG